CGACCGCUGGCGGCGUGCCUAAUACAUGCAAGUAGACCGCUGAAGGAGGAGCUUGCUCUUCUGGAUGAGUUGCGAACGGGUGAGUAACGCGUAGGUAACCUGCCUGGUAGCGGGGGAUAACUAUUGGAAACGAUAGCUAAUACCGCAUAACAGUAGAUGUUGCAUGACAUUUACUUAAAAGGUGCAAUUGCAUCACUACCAGAUGGACCUGCGUUGUAUUAGCUAGUUGGUGGGGUAACGGCUCACCAAGGCGACGAUACAUAGCCGACCUGAGAGGGUGAUCGGCCACACUGGGACUGAGACACGGCCCAGACUCCUACGGGAGGCAGCAGUAGGGAAUCUUCGGCAAUGGACGGAAGUCUGACCGAGCAACGCCGCGUGAGUGAAGAAGGUUUUCGGAUCGUAAAGCUCUGUUGUAAGAGAAGAACGAGUGUGAGAGUGGAAAGUUCACACUGUGACGGUAUCUUACCAGAAAGGGACGGCUAACUACGUG
This 493-nucleotide ribosomal RNA is filed under the name uncultured bacterium. Its description in RNAcentral is "partial 16S ribosomal RNA". It matches the Rfam family "Bacterial small subunit ribosomal RNA", at positions 30 to 507 of the family's 1533-position model. The record is from RNAcentral.